AUAUAUAUAUAUAUAUAUAUAUAUAUAUAUUAACAAUCAAGCCAUUCAUAUUCUAUCCUCUCUGAGAGUAUAAGAAGAGCAAGGAAGGUUUCCUAGCAAACAGGUUAGGGUGCAUCAGCCCCCUGGGAGUCCCUGUGAGCACCUGCACCCCUGGAACAGACUGUUACAUCGGUAGCCCCCUAUGAUCUGCCCCUUCGGAGUCACACCUUGUGCAGUCUGCCUCUCUGAUCCCAGCAUGGCACUGUGACCGGCUUGACCCAUAAGAUCCGGUGGGAUUGCGCUGUGCCCGUUUCAGGCCUAAGGCUAAGAAGGCAAGCAGGAUUUGCACUCUGAAGAGCCCUGCAUCUCCAUGUAGACAUUCAGCGUCAUGGCUAUAAAAGUCUUUGAAGAGGCACUUGGGAAGGAAGAGGCCCUGAGGUUCCUUGGUCAGAGAACAUGGCCCAUGUGUCUCUUCAUCUCAGCUGAGCCCAGCCUCCAGCCGACCCACUCGCUGAAUACAGCCAUACCAAUCGCCUUGAAGAAGGCGAGCAGGAAACCUGCCCUGCUGAACCCAGCCGAGAGUGCAAAAUGUUGAGCAAAUAAAAUGGCAGCUGUUGUAAGCCGCUGACUUUUGCGGUGGUUUGUUACUGAAAUACCCAGCCGAUGCGCUUGGCUCUUAUUUCCUUAGGACAGUGGCUGACUAUUCAUUCCAGUCUGCCUGGGAACGAGGGGGUUUCCAGGACACAGGACUUUCAGUGCUAAAGCCAGGAAAGUCCCAGGCAAACCUGGAUGGGUUGGUCACCUGAGUUCCAACCUACCAAGGGAACUCCUCACUUGGUCAGCAUUCGGUAGAAAAGACUGCUCAAAAGCCAGGAAUUUCAGCCAGCUCUCCCAGGCAGGGGGCUUCAGAACCUCACCUCUGCCUUGGGACCUUGGCCAUGAGGAUCCAAGCCUCAGAAUGCUGGAAUAUUGCAGAAUGUUCUGCAGCAUAUGGCUUCCUAGUCACUCAUUCUGUGAGCCCCAGAGCCCGCUCUGCUCCUGUGCUGGGCCUGGCUACAGCUCCCCUUGCACACGUCACUGCCCUCGCUAACAAUCAAAGGGAAGAGUUCUAAGCAGUGGGUUUCCUGUUCCUCUGCUUUCUUCAGGCCCGAGCCAUCAGCUCCCACUGUCCCAGCCUUUGUGUCUCCUUGCAGUUAUUCCUCCAAAGAUUUUUGAAACACGGUACCUAUCUUUGGAAACAAAAAUCACAAGUGGUUAAUUCAUCCCUCAGAUGCCCGUAUCUAGUUCUGUAAUGUGGGUGAAAAAGAGAAGCUUGUCAUUUCUUGAUAAUUCUAUUUGGAACACAUACUGAGCAUAUUAAAAACUUAUUAAGUGC
This is a long non-coding RNA of Pipistrellus kuhlii (Kuhl's pipistrelle), 1354 nucleotides long. RefSeq lists it as uncharacterized. The record is from RefSeq and is a predicted model, not a curated record. The transcript is spliced from 2 exons. NCBI's taxonomy places the organism in Eukaryota, Metazoa, Chordata, Mammalia, Chiroptera, Vespertilionidae.